UACGUAGGCAGCAAGCGUUGUUCGGAGUUACUGGGCGUAAAGGGUGCGUAGGCGGCUUUUUAAGUUUGGUGUGAAAUCUCCCGGCUCAACUGGGAGGGUGCGCCGAAUACUGAGAGGCUAGAGUACGGGAGAGGAAAGUGGAAUUCCUGGUGUAGCGGUGAAAUGCGUAGAUAUCAGGAGGAACACCGGUGGUGUAAACGGCUUUCUGGACCGUAACUGACGCUGAUGCACGAAAGCGUGGGUAGCAAACAGG
This 253-nucleotide ribosomal RNA is filed under the name uncultured bacterium. Its description in RNAcentral is "partial 16S ribosomal RNA". It matches the Rfam family "Bacterial small subunit ribosomal RNA", at positions 524 to 776 of the family's 1533-position model. The record is from RNAcentral.